UGGGGAAGAACCACCGGGAUUGCCUCAGUAACGGCGAGUGAAGCGGCAAGAGCUCAAAUUUGAAAUCUGGCCCCCCCGGGGUCCGAGUUGUAAUUUGGAGAGGAUGCUUCGGGCGCCGUUCCCGUCUAAGUGCCCCUGGAACGGGCUGUCGCAGAGGGUGAGAACCCCGUCUGGGACGGGCGACGGCGCCCGUGUGAAGCUCCUUCGACGAGUCGAGUUGUUUGGGAAUGCAGCUCUAAGCGGGUGGUAAAUUUCAUCUAAAGCUAAAUACUGGCCGGAGACCGAUAGCGCACAAGUAGAGUGAUCGAAAGAUGAAAAGCACUUUGAAAAGAGAGUCAAACAGCACGUGAAAUUGUUGAAAGGGAAGCGUUGGCCCCCAGACGCGCCCGGGAGGGCUCAGCCGGCACGUGUGCCGGUGUACUCUCUCCCGGGCGGGCCAGCAUCGGUUUGGGCGGUCGCUGAAAGGCCCCGGGAAUGUAGCACCCUCCGGGGUGCCUUAUAGCCCGGGGCGGCAUGCGGCCCGCCGGGACCGAGGCCCGCGCUUCGGCGAGGAUGCUGGCGUAAUGGCGGUCAACGGCCCGUCUUGAAACACGGACCAAGGAGUCUAACAUCUAUGCGAGUGUUCGGGUGUCAAACCCGUCCGCGCAGUGAAAGCUAACGCCGGUGGGAUCCCCUCUGGGGCGCACCAUCACCCAUCCUGAUGUCCUCUGAUGGAUUUGAGUAAGAGCAUUCUGUUGGCACCCCAAAGAUAGCGACUUUGCUGAAUAUGAUAAAUGAUAAUAAAGUCUGGUG
RNAcentral lists this ribosomal RNA (792 nucleotides) under Talaromyces sp. Its description in RNAcentral is "partial large subunit ribosomal RNA". It matches the Rfam family "Eukaryotic large subunit ribosomal RNA", at positions 54 to 869 of the family's 3401-position model. Lineage: Eukaryota; Fungi; Ascomycota; Eurotiomycetes; Eurotiales; Trichocomaceae. The record is from RNAcentral.